Molecule: ribosomal RNA, 464 nt
Filed under: Vreelandella stevensii
Lineage: Bacteria; Pseudomonadati; Pseudomonadota; Gammaproteobacteria; Oceanospirillales; Halomonadaceae
Description: partial 16S ribosomal RNA
Rfam family: Bacterial small subunit ribosomal RNA
Source: RNAcentral
CCUACGGGUGGCAGCAGUGGGGAAUAUUGGACAAUGGGCGAAAGCCUGAUCCAGCCAUGCCGCGUGUGUGAAGAAGGCCUUCGGGUUGUAAAGCACUUUCAGUGGGGAAGAAAGCCUUGGGGCUAAUACCCUCGAGGAAGGACAUCACCCACAGAAGAAGCACCGGCUAACUCCGUGCCAGCAGCCGCGGUAAUACGGAGGGUGCGAGCGUUAAUCGGAAUUACUGGGCGUAAAGCGCGCGUAGGCGGUCUGAUAAGCCGGUUGUGAAAGCCCCGGGCUCAACCUGGGAACGGCAUCCGGAACUGUCAGGCUAGGGUGCAGGAGAGGAAGGUAGAAUUCCCGGUGUAGCGGUGAAAUGCGUAGAGAUCGGGAGGAAUACCAGUGGCGAAGGCGGCCUUCUGGACUGACACUGACGCUGAGGUGCGAAAGCGUGGGUAGCAAACAGGAUUAGAUACCUUGUAGUC